AUUGAACGCUAGCGGGAUGCUUUACACAUGCAAGUCGAACGGCAGCGCGGACUUCGGUCUGGCGGCGAGUGGCGAACGGGUGAGUAAUGUAUCGGAACGUGCCCAGUAGCGGGGGAUAACUACGCGAAAGCGUAGCUAAUACCGCAUACGCCCUACGGGGGAAAGCAGGGGAUCGUAAGACCUUGCACUAUUGGAGCGGCCGAUAUCGGAUUAGCUAGUUGGUGAGGUAACGGCUCACCAAGGCGACGAUCCGUAGCUGGUUUGAGAGGACGACCAGCCACACUGGGACUGAGACGCGGCCCAGACUCCUGCGGGGGGCAGCAGUGGGGAAUUUUGGACAAUGGGGGCAACCCUGAUCCAGCCGUCCCGCGUGUGCGAUGAAGGCCUUCGGGUUGUAAAGCACUUUUGGCAGGAAAGAAACGUCGCGGGCUAAUACCCCGUGGAACUGACGGUACCUGCAGAAUAAGCACCGGCUAACUACGUG
RNAcentral lists this ribosomal RNA (484 nucleotides) under uncultured bacterium. RNAcentral describes it as "partial 16S ribosomal RNA". It matches the Rfam family "Bacterial small subunit ribosomal RNA", at positions 30 to 507 of the family's 1533-position model. The record is from RNAcentral.